AGAGGUGUCAUAGUGAUCUUGCUUUUAUCUGUAUUUAUACAAGGUUAUGAAGAGGCCUUGCUUUAUAUAAUCCCGUCAUGAUGUCAGAGUAACUUGCCUAAGGUUGGUAUUCUAUGAGAUUGUUUAUGUCCAGUAGGAGACUAACAUGGCCUUGCUGGGAAUGUCAGAUCAUUUCUGAACAUGAGUUCUUUUUCAGAGCUUUCAGCUAUCAUUUAAGAAGUCUGGCUACCCUUGGGAUACCACCUGGAGUGACCACAUGCUUACAUAUAUAGAGAGAUGGCUCAGAGUUCAGUCUCUAUUGAAUGCUGGGUAACAGACAAUUGAAUAAAGAAGAUGCUGAGCUGAUCUCAGCCCCAGUCAUUGUCUGGCCACAACUGUGUGAGGCACCUGCAUGCAGUGAGAACUACUUAGCUGAGCCCAGCUGGCCUCUAAUCUGUGCAAAUCCAAGUGGAGGAGAAAGAAGACGAUACUGAGGAAAGUUCAAGCGAAGAGGAAGAGGAGGAACACAAACUACCCCGAAGAGAGAGCAUGAGGCCAAAGAGGAAACGGACCAGAGAUGUUAUCAAUGAAGAUGAUCCAGAGCCUGAACCAGAAGAUGAAGAAACAAGGAAGGCCAGAGAGAAAGAGAGAAGGAGGAGAUUAAAGAGAGGAGCGUGAGUUAGUUUUGAUCUAUAAUUGACAUUAUUUUUCAUUCAAAAGUGCCUGAUGCUGAAAGAUCACCCUAGCCUUAAAAUUGGUAAUUAAAACU
This 748-nucleotide long non-coding RNA is filed under the name Capra hircus (goat). Its description in RNAcentral is "lncRNA (ENSCHIG00000007925.1)". Lineage: Eukaryota; Metazoa; Chordata; Mammalia; Artiodactyla; Bovidae. The record is from RNAcentral.